CCGGCGCACGGGUGAGUAACACGUAUCCAACCUGCCGUCUACUCUUGGACAGCCUUCUGAAAGGAAGAUUAAUACAAGAUGGCAUCAUGAGUCCGCAUGUUCACAUGAUUAAAGGUAUUCCGGUAGACGAUGGGGAUGCGUUCCAUUAGAUAGUAGGCGGGGUAACGGCCCACCUAGUCUUCGAUGGAUAGGGGUUCUGAGAGGAAGGUCCCCCACAUUGGAACUGGGACACGGUCCAA
Molecule: ribosomal RNA, 239 nt
Filed under: uncultured bacterium
Lineage: Bacteria
Description: partial 16S ribosomal RNA
Rfam family: Bacterial small subunit ribosomal RNA
Source: RNAcentral